UUUCGUGCCAGCAGCCGCGGUAAUACGAGGGGGGCAAGCGUUGUUCGGAAUUAUUGGGCGUAAAGGGUGCGUAGGCGGUUUGAUAAGUCUUAUGUGAAAUCUAUGGGCUCAACCCAUAGUCUGCAUAGGAAACUGUCGGGCUUGAGAGUGGGAGAGGUGAGUGGAAUUUCCGGUGUAGCGGUGAAAUGCGUAGAUAUCGGAAGGAACACCUGUGGCGAAAGCGGCUCACUGGACCAUUUCUGACGCUGAUGCACGAAAGCUAGGGGAGCAAACAGGAUUAGAUACCCUGGUAGUCCUAGCCCUAAACGAUGAUUGCUUGAUGUGGAGGGUACCCAAUCC
This 339-nucleotide ribosomal RNA is filed under the name uncultured Terriglobales bacterium. Its description in RNAcentral is "bacterial SSU rRNA". It matches the Rfam family "Bacterial small subunit ribosomal RNA", at positions 501 to 839 of the family's 1533-position model. The record is from RNAcentral. Lineage: Bacteria; Pseudomonadati; Acidobacteriota; Terriglobia; Terriglobales.